This 1398-nucleotide ribosomal RNA is filed under the name Streptococcus salivarius. RNAcentral describes it as "bacterial SSU rRNA". It matches the Rfam family "Bacterial small subunit ribosomal RNA". The record is from RNAcentral. Lineage: Bacteria; Bacillati; Bacillota; Bacilli; Lactobacillales; Streptococcaceae.
UGGCAAGUAGAACGCUGAAGAGAGGAGCUUGCUCUUCUUGGAUGAGUUGCGAACGGGUGAGUAACGCGUAGGUAACCUGCCUUGUAGCGGGGGAUAACUAUUGGAAACGAUAGCUAAUACCGCAUAACAAUGGAUGACACAUGUCAUUUAUUUGAAAGGGGCAAUUGCUCCACUACAAGAUGGACCUGCGUUGUAUUAGCUAGUAGGUGAGGUAACGGCUCACCUAGGCGACGAUACAUAGCCGACCUGAGAGGGUGAUCGGCCACACUGGGACUGAGACACGGCCCAGACUCCUACGGGAGGCAGCAGUAGGGAAUCUUCGGCAAUGGGGGCAACCCUGACCGAGCAACGCCGCGUGAGUGAAGAAGGUUUUCGGAUCGUAAAGCUCUGUUGUAAGUCAAGAACGAGUGUGAGAGUGGAAAGUUCACACUGUGACGGUAGCUUACCAGAAAGGGACGGCUAACUACGUGCCAGCAGCCGCGGUAAUACGUAGGUCCCGAGCGUUGUCCGGAUUUAUUGGGCGUAAAGCGAGCGCAGGCGGUUUGAUAAGUCUGAAGUUAAAGGCUGUGGCUCAACCAUAGUUCGCUUUGGAAACUGUCAAACUUGAGUGCAGAAGGGGAGAGUGGAAUUCCAUGUGUAGCGGUGAAAUGCGUAGAUAUAUGGAGGAACACCGGUGGCGAAAGCGGCUCUCUGGUCUGUAACUGACGCUGAGGCUCGAAAGCGUGGGGAGCGAACAGGAUUAGAUACCCUGGUAGUCCACGCCGUAAACGAUGAGUGCUAGGUGUUGGAUCCUUUCCGGGAUUCAGUGCCGCAGCUAACGCAUUAAGCACUCCGCCUGGGGAGUACGACCGCAAGGUUGAAACUCAAAGGAAUUGACGGGGGCCCGCACAAGCGGUGGAGCAUGUGGUUUAAUUCGAAGCAACGCGAAGAACCUUACCAGGUCUUGACAUCCCGAUGCUAUUUCUAGAGAUAGAAAGUUACUUCGGUACAUCGGUGACAGGUGGUGCAUGGUUGUCGUCAGCUCGUGUCGUGAGAUGUUGGGUUAAGUCCCGCAACGAGCGCAACCCCUAUUGUUAGUUGCCAUCAUUCAGUUGGGCACUCUAGCGAGACUGCCGGUAAUAAACCGGAGGAAGGUGGGGAUGACGUCAAAUCAUCAUGCCCCUUAUGACCUGGGCUACACACGUGCUACAAUGGUUGGUACAACGAGUUGCGAGUCGGUGACGGCAAGCUAAUCUCUUAAAGCCAAUCUCAGUUCGGAUUGUAGGCUGCAACUCGCCUACAUGAAGUCGGAAUCGCUAGUAAUCGCGGAUCAGCACGCCGCGGUGAAUACGUUCCCGGGCCUUGUACACACCGCCCGUCACACCACGAGAGUUUGUAACACCCGAAGUCGGUGAGGUA